Mytilus trossulus (common blue mussel) is the source of this 209-nucleotide long non-coding RNA. RefSeq lists it as uncharacterized. The record is from RefSeq and is a predicted model, not a curated record. The transcript has 3 exons. Lineage: Eukaryota; Metazoa; Mollusca; Bivalvia; Mytilida; Mytilidae.
CAGAUUCAGCAAUGCACAAAAUUAGAUACAGAUGAUGAAACAUAUCUCAUGGAGACUGACCAGUUGGAUGUGUUAACAGAAAAAGAAAAUAUUUGCGAUAAUCUUAUUGAAAUUUCAGCAUCCGAAUAUACAGUUACAUCAGAAGAGUCAGGAAGUCAAAAUUAUUUAUCCCAGUCACAACAAUCAGUCAGAAGUUAUGAACGUUGCAG